Molecule: ribosomal RNA, 213 nt
Filed under: Cryptosporidium felis
Lineage: Eukaryota; Apicomplexa; Conoidasida; Eucoccidiorida; Cryptosporidiidae
Description: partial small subunit ribosomal RNA
Rfam family: Eukaryotic small subunit ribosomal RNA
Source: RNAcentral
UAAGUAUAAACCCCUUUACAAGUAUCAAUUGGAGGGCAAGUCUGGUGCCAGCAGCCGCGGUAAUUCCAGCUCCAAUAGCGUAUAUUAAAGUUGUUGCAGUUAAAAAGCUCGUAGUUGAAUUUCUGUUAAUACCUUAUAUAUAAUAUUUUUUUUUAAAUAUUAUUAUGUAAGAUUAACAUAAUUCAUAUUUUUUAAGACUGAAUUUUUAGUUUU